RNAcentral lists this ribosomal RNA (406 nucleotides) under uncultured bacterium. Its description in RNAcentral is "bacterial SSU rRNA". It matches the Rfam family "Bacterial small subunit ribosomal RNA", at positions 505 to 917 of the family's 1533-position model. The record is from RNAcentral.
GUGUCAGCAGCCGCGGUAAUACGUAGGGGGCGAGCGUUAUCCGGAUUUAUUGGGUGUAAAGCGUGUGUAGGCGGUUUUUUAAGUCUAAGGUUUAAGCCCGGAGCUCAACUCCGGUACGCCUUAGAAACUGAUUUACUUGAGUGUGGUAGAGGCAAAUGGAAUUUCUAGUGUAGCGGUAGAAUGCGUAGAUAUUAGAAGGAACACCGGUGGCGAAGGCGAUUUGCUGGGCCAUUACUGACGCUGAGACACGAAAGCGUGGGGAGCAAAUAGGAUUAGAUACCCUAGUAGUCCACGCCGUAAACGAUGGAUACUAAGUGUUGGGGUUACCCAGUGCUGAAGUUAACACAUUAAGUAUCCCACCUGAGUAGUACGGUCGCAAAGGCUGAAACUUAAAGGAAUUGACGGG